This 254-nucleotide ribosomal RNA is filed under the name uncultured bacterium. RNAcentral describes it as "partial 16S ribosomal RNA". It matches the Rfam family "Bacterial small subunit ribosomal RNA", at positions 524 to 776 of the family's 1533-position model. The record is from RNAcentral.
CACGUAGGGUGCGAGCGUUGUCCGGAAUUAUUGGGCGUAAAGAGCUCGUAGGCGGUGUGUCGCGUCGGCCGUGAAAACCUGCAGCUUAACUGUGGGCGUGCGGUCGAUACGGGCAUCACUGGAGUUCGGCAGGGGAGACUGGAAUUCCUGGUGUAGCGGUGAAAUGCGCAGAUAUCAGGAGGAACACCGGUGGCGAAGGCGGGUCUCUGGGCCAAUACUGACGCUGAGGUGCGAAAGCGUGGGGAGCAAACAGG